RNAcentral lists this ribosomal RNA (1881 nucleotides) under human gut metagenome. Its description in RNAcentral is "bacterial LSU rRNA". It matches the Rfam family "Bacterial large subunit ribosomal RNA", at positions 3 to 1978 of the family's 2925-position model. The record is from RNAcentral.
UCAAGCUAAGAAGGGCGCAAGGGGGAUGCCUUGGCAUUGGUAGCCGAUGAAGGACGUAGCGAUCUACGAUAAGCCACGGGAAGUCGAAAGCAGGCAAUGAUCCGUGGAUUUCCGAAUGGGGAAACCCGGCAGAGCAAUACUCUGUCAACUCCUUGUGAAUAAAAUAGCAUUGAGUAGGGAACCUCCUGAACUGAAACAUCUAAGUAGGGAGAGGAAAAGAAAUCAACCGAGAUUCCGCUAGUAGUGGCGAGCGAACGCGGAAGAGGCCAAACCAAGAGUAGUAAUACUUUUGGGGUUCGGACUGAGUACGGUAUUGACAAGAGUUAGUAGAAUGGAAUGGGAAGUUCAACCAUAGAGUGUGAGAGUCACGUAUACGAAAACUUGAGUCAGCCAUCAGUAUCCAGAGUACCGCCGGACACGUGAAACCCGGUGGGAAUACGGGGGGACCACCCUCCAAGCCUAAAUACUCACCAAUGACCGAUAGUGUAUAGUACUGUGAAGGAAAGGUGAAAAGAACCCCUGGCGGGGAGUGAAAAAGAACCUGAAACCUUGUGCCUACAAGCACAUAGAGCACGUCAACGUGUGAUAUGGUACCUUUUGUAGAAUGGUCCGGCGAGUGAAUGUCACUAGCGAGGUUAAGAACUUAAGGUUUGCAGCCGAAGCGAAAGCGAGUCUUAAUAGGGCGAGUUUAGUUAGUGGUAUUCGACCCGAAACCGAGUGACCUAGCCAUGAGCAGGCUGAAGUGGAGGUAAAACUCCAUGGAGGGCCGAACCCACUCCCGUUGAAAUGGUAGGGGAUGACUUGUGGCUAGCGGAGAAAUUCCAAUCGAACUCGGAGAUAGCUGGUUCUCUCCGAAAUAGCUUUAGGGCUAGCCUCGAUUUGACAUUACCGGAGGUAAAGCACUGAAUGGGCUAGGGGCCGAGAGGUUACUGAACCCUAUCAAACUAAGAAUGCCGGAUAAUGAUAAUCGGGAGUCAGACAGUGUGAGAUAAGUUUCAUUGUCAAAAGGGAAACAGCCCAGACCCACAGCUAAGGUCCCAAAGUACAGUUAAGUGGUGAAGGAUGUGGAAUUGCAUAGACAACCAGGAUGUUGGCUUAGAAGCAGCCACUCAUUAAAAGAGUGCGUAAUAGCUCACUGGUCGAGUGAUUCUGCGCCGAAAAUUUAACGGGGCUAAACUGUACACCGAAGCUUGGGAUACAUCUAAUGUAUGGUAGGAGAGCGUUGUAUACGGGGUGAAGUCAGAGCGGAAGCGCUGGUGGACUGUAUACAAGUGAGAAUGCCGGAAUGAGUAGCGAGAAUUAUGUGAGAAUCAUAAUGGCCGAAAGACUAAGGUUUUAGAAGGAAGGUUCGUCCGCUUCUAGUCAGCCGGGAGCUAAGGCGAGGCCGAAAGGCGUAGUCGAUGCACAUACGGUGGAGAUUCCGUAGCCGCCAUUAAUUUAAACAGAGGGACACUUUCAAGGGGCAUGACCCGGGCGUUGGUAGACCCGGGCGUAAGGGACCGAAGAUUAGUAGGGAAGCAUGCUUUAAGGAAGGCGAGAAAAGCUCUGUGUAUAGAAGAUGGCGCCCGUACCGCAAACCGACACAGGUAGUCAGGAAGAGAAUUCUAAGGCCAACGGGAGAAGGGUAGUUAAGGAACUCGGCAAAUUGACCCCGUAACUUCGGAAUAAGGGGUGCUCACGAGAGUGAGCCGCAGUGAAUAGGUCCAGGCGACUGUUUAUCAAAAACACAGCUCUCUGCUAAAUCGAAAGAUGACGUAUAGGGGGUGACACCUGCCCGGUGCUGGAAGGUUAAGAGGAAGGGUGCAAGCUCUGAAUUGAAGCCCCAGUAAACGGCGGCCGUAACUAUAACGGUCCUAAGGUAGCGAAAUUCCUUGUCGGGUA